AGCAGCCGCGGUAAUUCCAGCUCCAAUAGCGUAUAUUAAAGUUGUUGCAGUUAAAAAGCUCGUAGUUGAAUUUCGGGAUCAAUAUGUUUGGUCGUGCCUCGGUACGUACUAGCUUAUUGGUUUCUCCUUUCUGAAGAACCAUGAUGUCAUUCAUUUGGUGUCGUGGGGAAUCAGGACUGUUACUUUGAAAAAAUUAGAGUGUUUAAAGCAGGCUCACGCUUGAAUACAUUAGCAUGGAAUAAUGAAAUAGGACGUUUGAUUCUAUUUUGUUGGUUUCUAGGAUCGACGUAAUGAUUAAUAGGGAUAGUUGGGGGCAUUAGUAUUCAAUUGUCAGAGGUGAAAUUCUUGGAUUUAUUGAAGACUAACUACUGCGAAAGCAUUUGCCAAGGAUGUUUUCAUUAAUCAAGAACGAAAGUUAGGGGAUCGAAGACGAUCAGAUACCGUCGUAGUCUUAACCAUAAACUAUGCCGACUAGGGAUCG
This 481-nucleotide ribosomal RNA is filed under the name uncultured Glomus. RNAcentral describes it as "SSU rRNA". It matches the Rfam family "Eukaryotic small subunit ribosomal RNA", at positions 569 to 1055 of the family's 1831-position model. The record is from RNAcentral. Lineage: Eukaryota; Fungi; Glomeromycota; Glomeromycetes; Glomerales; Glomeraceae.